AUACCGGGCCUUUUUCGGCUUGGUAAUUGGAAUGAGGGAGAGUUAAACGGACCAUCGAGUAUCCAUUGGAGGGCAAGUCUGGUGCCAGCAGCUGCGGUAAUACCAGCUCCAAUAGCGUAUAUUAAAGUUGUUGCAGUUAAAAAGCUCGUAGUUGGACUUGUGUGCGCUGUCCGCGGGUGGCCUGCGCCCAAAAGGGCGUUUCGGUUCGGCCCCGGUGGCGCCUUGAAAUCUGCAGCUGGGGGGACGUUGGCCUUAACUGGUCGGCGACCGCACGCCGGCUGCUCGGUUACUGUGAGAAAAUUAGAGUGUUCAAGGCAGGCAUUGGGUGCAAUUGAAUACAUUAGCAUGGAAUAAUAAAAUAUGGCUCCUGCCGUAUUUUGUUGGUUUUGACUGGUGGGAGUAAUGAUUGAUAGGGACGGUUGGGGGUGCUAGUAUUGAGCGGCCAGAGGUGAAAUUCAUGGAUUCGCUCAAGACUAACUUAUGCGAAAGCAUUCACCAAGGACGUCCUCUUUAAUCAAGAACGAAAGUUGGGGGAUCGAAGACGAUCAGAUACCGUCGUAGUCUCAACCAUAAACUAUGUCGACUUGGGAUCGGCGGUAGUUUUUUUCAUUAAGACACUGUCGGGACCACGGGAGAAAUCAAAGUGUCUGGACUCUGGGGGAAGUAUGGUCGCAAGGCUGAAACUUGAAGGAAUUGACGGAAGGGCACCACCAGGAGUGGAGCCUGCGGCUUAAUUUGACCCAACACGGGGAAACUUACCAGGUCCAGAGAUGUAGAGGAUUGACAGAUUGAAGCUCUUUCUUGAUCACUUCGGUGGUGGUGCAUGGCCGUUCUUAGUUGGUGGAGUGAUUUGUCUGGUUAAUUCCGUUAACGAACGAGACCUCAGCCUGCUAGUGUAGUCGGCUGGAUUGCCUUUGGCGAUCCGUGAUUUCGACUUCUUAGAGGGACAAUCGACGCGCAGUCGAUGGAAGUUUGAGGCAAUAACAGGUCUGUGAUGCCCUUAGAUGUUCUGGGCCGCACGCGCGCUACACUGCUGGGCUCAGCGAGUUUUACUUGGCCGAGAGGCCCGGUUAAUCUUGUGAAAUCCCAGCGUGCUUGGGCUCGCCUCCUGCAACUGGAGGCGCCAACGAGGAAUCCCUAGUAGACGCAGGUCAUCAACCUGCAUCGAUUACGUCCCUGCCCUUUGCACACACCGCCCGUCGUUCCAUAAGAGUGAGGCAUCCGGUGAAUUCUCGGGAGAGCCUGGGCGUGGCCAGCAAUGGUCUGCUCGGGUUUGAGCUUGCAUAAACUUGG
Molecule: ribosomal RNA, 1293 nt
Filed under: metagenome
Description: SSU rRNA
Rfam family: Eukaryotic small subunit ribosomal RNA
Source: RNAcentral